This 913-nucleotide ribosomal RNA is filed under the name uncultured Lycoperdon. Its description in RNAcentral is "partial 18S ribosomal RNA". It matches the Rfam family "Eukaryotic large subunit ribosomal RNA", at positions 44 to 944 of the family's 3401-position model. The record is from RNAcentral. Lineage: Eukaryota; Fungi; Basidiomycota; Agaricomycetes; Agaricales; Lycoperdaceae.
CAAUAAGCGGAGGAAAAGAAACUAACAAGGAUUCCCCUAGUAACUGCGAGUGAAGCGGGAAAAGCUCAAAUUUAAAAUCUGGCGGUCUAUGGCUGUCCGAGUUGUAAUCUAGAGAAGUGAUGCCCGCGCUGGACCGUGUACAAGUCUCCUGGAAUGGAGCGUCAUAGAGGGUGAGAAUCCCGUCUUUGACACGGACUACCAGGGCUUUGUGGUACGCUCUCAAAGAGUCGAGUUGUUUGGGAAUGCAGCUCUAAAUGGGUGGUAAAUUCCAUCUAAAGCUAAAUAUUGGCGAGAGACCGAUAGCGAACAAGUACCGUGAGGGAAAGAUGAAAAGAACUUUGGAAAGAGAGUUAAACAGUACGUGAAAUUGCUGAAAGGGAAACGCUUGAAGUCAGUCACGUUGGCUAGGAAUCAGCUUCGCUUUUGCGUGGUGUACUUUCUGGUUGACGGGUCAGUAUCAAUUUUGACCGCUGGAGAAAGGUCUUGGAAAUGUGGCAGCUCAGGCUGUGUUAUAGUCCAUGGCCACAUACAGCGGUUGGGAUUGAGGAACUCAGCACGCCGCAAGGCCGGGUUUCGACCACGUCCGUGCUUAGGAUACUGGCAUAAUGGCUUUAAGCGACCCGUCUUGAAACACGGACCAAGGAGUCUAACAUGCCUGCGAGUGUUUGGGUGGUAAACCCGAGCGCGUAAUGAAAGUGAAAGUUGAGAUCCCUGUCGUGGGGAGCAUCGACGCCCGGACCUGAACUUUUGUGACGGACCCGCGGUAGAGCAUGUAUGUUGGGACCCGAAAGAUGGUGAACUAUGCCUGAAUAGGGUGAAGCCAGAGGAAACUCUGGUGGAGGCUCGUAGCGAUUCUGACGUGCAAAUCGAUCGUCAAAUUUGGGUAUAGGGGCGAAAGACUAAUCGAACCAUC